CAUCUGGAAAGAUGAAUCAAAGAAGGUAAUAAUCCUGUAGUCGAAAAUGUUGUCUCUCUUGAGUGGAUCCUGAGUACGACGGAGCACGUGAAAUUCCGUCGGAAUCUGGGAGGACCAUCUCCUAAGGCUAAAUACUCUCUAGUGACCGAUAGUGAACCAGUACCGUGAGGGAAAGGUGAAAAGCACCCCGGAAGGGGAGUGAAAUAGAACCUGAAACCGUGUGCUUACAAGUAGUCAGAGCCCGUUAAUGGGUGAUGGCGUGCCUUUUGUAGAAUGAACCGGCGAGUUACGAUUUGAUGCAAGGUUAAGCAGUAAAUGUGGAGCCGUAGCGAAAGCGAGUCUGAAUAGGGCGUUUAGUAUUUGGUCGUAGACCCGAAACCAGGUGAUCUACCCUUGGUCAGGUUGAAGUUCAGGUAACACUGAAUGGAGGACCGAACCGACUUACGUUGAAAAGUGAGCGGAUGAACUGAGGGUAGCGGAGAAAUUCCAAUCGAACCUGGAGAUAGCUGGUUCUCUCCGAAAUAGCUUUAGGGCUAGCCUCAAGUGAUGAUUAUUGGAGGUAGAGCACUGUUUGGACGAGGGGCCCCUCUCGGGUUACCGAAUUCAGACAAACUCCGAAUGCCAAUUAAUUUAACUUGGGAGUCAGAACAUGGGUGAUAAGGUCCGUGUUCGAAAGGGAAACAGCCCAGACCACCAGCUAAGGUCCCAAAAUAUAUGUUAAGUGGAAAAGGAUGUGGCGUUGCCCAGACAACUAGGAUGUUGGCUUAGAAGCAGCCAUCAUUUAAAGAGUGCGUAAUAGCUCACUAGUCGAGUGACACUGCGCCGAAAAUGUACCGGGGCUAAACAUAUUACCGAAGCUGUGGAUUGUCCUUUGGACAAUGGUAGGAGAGCGUUCUAAGGGCGUUGAAGCAUGAUCGUAAGGACAUGUGGAGCGCUUAGAAGUGAGAAUGCCGGUGUGAGUAGCGAAAGACGGGUGAGAAUCCCGUCCACCGAUUGACUAAGGUUUCCAGAGGAAGGCUCGUCCGCUCUGGGUUAGUCGGGUCCUAAGCUGAGGCCGACAGGCGUAGGCGAUGGAUAACAGGUUGAUAUUCCUGU
RNAcentral lists this ribosomal RNA (1095 nucleotides) under Staphylococcus aureus. RNAcentral describes it as "partial 23S ribosomal RNA". It matches the Rfam family "Bacterial large subunit ribosomal RNA", at positions 339 to 1442 of the family's 2925-position model. Lineage: Bacteria; Bacillati; Bacillota; Bacilli; Caryophanales; Staphylococcaceae. The record is from RNAcentral.